RNAcentral lists this ribosomal RNA (492 nucleotides) under uncultured bacterium. RNAcentral describes it as "partial 16S ribosomal RNA". It matches the Rfam family "Bacterial small subunit ribosomal RNA", at positions 29 to 507 of the family's 1533-position model. The record is from RNAcentral.
AGUGAACGCUGGCGGUAGGCCUAACACAUGCAAGUCGAACGGCAGCACAGUAAGAGCUUGCUCUUACGGGUGGCGAGUGGCGGACGGGUGAGGAAUACAUCGGAAUCUACUUUUUCGUGGGGGAUAACGUAGGGAAACUUACGCUAAUACCGCAUCCGACCUACGGGUGAAAGCAGGGGAUCUUUGGACCUUGCGCGAUUGAAUGAGCCGAUGUCGGAUUAGCUAGUUGGCGGGGUAAAGGCCCACCAAGGCGACGAUCCGUAGCUGGUCUGAGAGGAUGAUCGGCCGCACUGGAACUUGGACACGGUCCAGACUCCUACGGGAGGCAGCAGUGGGGAAUGCUGGACAAUGGGCGCAAGCCUGAUCCAGCCAUACCGCGUGGGUGAAGAAGGCCUUCGGGUUGUAAAGCCCUUUUGUUGGGAAAGAAAAGCAGCAGGUUGAUACCCCGCUGUUCUGACGGUACCCAAAGAAUAAGCACCGGCUAACUUCGUG